This 1062-nucleotide long non-coding RNA is filed under the name Ursus maritimus (polar bear). RNAcentral describes it as "lncRNA (ENSUMAG00000020728.1)". Lineage: Eukaryota; Metazoa; Chordata; Mammalia; Carnivora; Ursidae. The record is from RNAcentral.
AGAAGAAAGAGGUCAGAGAGAGCUGGGCCAUGGGGCAGGGGCAUCAGGACUCCUGGCAAUACCCCAGAUCCAUAGCAUGGGGAGGGGAGACACGUCAGGCUGAUAGGGGGUCCCCAAGGGGCCUAGGGGGGUUGCCAGGGCACUGGGAGAGGACAGGGUCGGGGUCCAGUGUCCAUCACCUCCCUGGGCACCUGGAAGCAGGAAGAGACACCCCCCCUAGUGCAGAGGGAGCUCAGCUUACUCUACGGUCAAUUGGGCUGUAGAGACAGGCUGUCCCCAGGAUCCCACAGGCUUGUAGAAGAGACUGUUGGCCUUGGAUCUCUGUCCCUGACCCACUGUGCUCCCAGUCCUGGGAAAAUGCUUUGUGCUCCCUCGAGGUUCUUCUGAGCAGAGGGCAGGCUGGGGGCUGAGGACCUGGGUAGAGCAGAGCAGUGACCACUGGUCGGGGGACCAAGGUCAGGACCCUCCUUGGUGCAGCCUCAGGGUCCCCAUUUGGAAGAGGUUCCAGAGUCAGUGCUCUGGCCAGGGUGAGGAGGCCUGAGGAAGGAACUGAGCACCAGGACAGGAGAGGGAAACAGGGACAAGGGAGACUUCUGACGUUUCUCACAUCGCCCCCGGAGCCCACAGAUCCUGCUCCUGGGAGACAAACAGAGACAGAGACAGAGAUUGAACACAGGAGAGAGGGAACCAGAAGUCACAGACUUUCCUCCAUCAGCUUGGAAAUCUCUUCCUUGAGCACAGUCACACAGGCCAUCCACUCUGAAGGGGAGGGGAUUCCACAGAGAUGUGUGACCAGGAUUCGGGAAUGCCCGGGAGCCACUGUGGAGACUGCCCAGCACAUGGGCGCAGGCGAGGCCAUAGGGCCUGAGCCUAAAUCUGAUGGGAGCCCCUGGAAGUCUGUCGUGAGAGGACAAGAGCCAGCCCCCUGCCCAGCUCAUUUCGUUGGAGAUCCUCGAACGAAGAACAUGUUUGCGUGUUGCAUCCCCAAGUCCGGAGGCUGCAGGCUGAGGAAAGCACGCCCUGCAAACACUUCCCCUCGCUGGGGAUGUGGCGUCAGGGCUC